CGUAAUAGCUCACUGGUCGAGUCGGCCUGCGCGGAAGAUGUAACGGGGCUAAACCAUGCACCGAAGCUGCGGCAGCGACGCUUAUGCGUUGUUGGGUAGGGGAGCGUUCUGUAAGCCUGCGAAGGUGGCCUGUGAGGGUUGCUGGAGGUAUCAGAAGUGCGAAUGCUGACAUAAGUAACGAUAAAGCGGGUGAAAAGCCCGCUCGCCGGAAGACCAAGGGUUCCUGUCCAACGUUAAUCGGGGCAGGGUGAGUCGACCCCUAAGGCGAGGCCGAAAGGCGUAGUCGAUGGGAAACGGGUUAAUAUUCCCGUACUUGGUGUUACUGCGAAGGGGGGACGGAGAAGGCUAUGUUGGCCGGGCGACGGUUGUCCCGGUUUAAGCGUGUAGGUGUGUGUUCCAGGUAAAUCCGGUUCACUUUAACACUGAGGCGUGACGACGAGGCACUACGGUGCUGAAGCAACAAAUGCCCUGCUUCCAGGAAAAGCCUCUAAGCAUCAGGUAACAUCAAAUCGUACCCCAAACCGACACAGGUGGUCAGGUAGAGAAUACCAAGGCGCUUGAGAGAACUCGGGUGAAGGAACUAGGCAAAAUGGUGCCGUAACUUCGGGAGAAGGCACGCUGACAC
RNAcentral lists this ribosomal RNA (625 nucleotides) under Salmonella enterica. RNAcentral's name for it is "partial 23S ribosomal RNA". It matches the Rfam family "Bacterial large subunit ribosomal RNA", at positions 1133 to 1757 of the family's 2925-position model. Lineage: Bacteria; Pseudomonadati; Pseudomonadota; Gammaproteobacteria; Enterobacterales; Enterobacteriaceae. The record is from RNAcentral.